Mus pahari (shrew mouse) is the source of this 568-nucleotide long non-coding RNA. RefSeq lists it as uncharacterized. NCBI's taxonomy places the organism in Eukaryota, Metazoa, Chordata, Mammalia, Rodentia, Muridae. The transcript has 3 exons. The record is from RefSeq and is a predicted model, not a curated record.
CAUGGGCAGACGACCUGUGAUAGUUUGGAUAUGAAGUGUCCCCCAAAAGACACUUGUUGAGGGCUUAGUCCCCAGCUGGUGGGGCAGAUCCCUUCUGCCCUGAGCUGUGAUUGGCUCGUGAGAGCUCUGACCCAAUCACGAUGCAGUGAACCGGCCUGUUGCACCAGGUCCUCUCAAGUACCCUGCCCCCAUGCUGUUCUGGUAUACCGUGGAUCCCCCUGACCAGGAACCUCAUCUCUGAACCCGUGAGUCAAGCUAACCAUCCCUAUGGCGCCAGCAUCAAAAUAAUGGGAAGAAAUGUCACUGCAUGAUUGCAGGGAGGCAGAAGGAGCCAGGAAGAGCCCGGCUGAGUUCUAACUGUCUUCUCCAUCCAGCUCCGACCAAUUGUCCCAGUCAUUUCCAGACACGACUCCACCCUGCACCCAGGCCCAGGUAGCGAGAGAGUCAGCUCUGCAGUCGCCGCUGGAUCCCUGAUGUUGCCUCUGUGGGGAGACAGCAUCUGCUGGGACCCUUCCAGCCCUCACAGUCGACUGUGGAUCAGGAAAGCCCGGGUCAUUAAUAAACAAGA